This 374-nucleotide ribosomal RNA is filed under the name uncultured bacterium. RNAcentral describes it as "partial 16S ribosomal RNA". It matches the Rfam family "Bacterial small subunit ribosomal RNA", at positions 407 to 796 of the family's 1533-position model. The record is from RNAcentral.
GAUGAAGGCCUUAGGGUUGUAAAGCUCUUUCGCUGGGGAAGAUAAUGACGGUACCCAGCANAAGAAGCCCCGGCUAACUUCGUGCCANCNGCCGCGGUAAUACGAAGGGGGCUAGCGUUGUUCGGAAUUACUGGGCGUAAAGCGCACGUNNGCGGACUUGUCAGUCAGAGGUGAAAUCCCGAAGCUUAACUUCGGAACUGCCUUUGAUACUGCANGUCUUGAGGAUGAGAGAGGUAAGUGGAACUGCGAGUGUAGAGGUGAAAUUCGUAGAUAUUCNCAAGAACACCAGUGGCGAAGGCGGCUUACUGGCUCAUUUCUGACNCUGAGGUGCGAAAGCGUGGGGAGCAAACAGGAAUUAGAUACCCUGNUAGUCC